CGUACACAUCGAGUCGAGCGGGAGAGCUGUUACGGGGUACACGAGCGGCGAACGGGUGAGUAACACGUGGGUGAUCUGCCCUGCACUCUGGGAUAAGCUUGGGAAACUGGGUCUAAUACCGGAUAUGACCACAGCAUGCAUGUGUUGUGGUGGAAAGAUUUAUCGGUGCAGGAUGGGCCCGCGGCCUAUCAGCUUGUUGGUGGGGUAAUGGCCUACCAAGGCGACGACGGGUAGCCGACCUGAGAGGGUGACCGGCCACACUGGGACUGAGACACGGCCCAGACUCCUACGGGAGGCAGCAGUGGGGAAUAUUGCACAAUGGGCGGAAGCCUGAUGCAGCGACGCCGCGUGAGGGAUGAAGGCCUUCGGGUUGUAAACCUCUUUCAGCAGGGACGAAGCGUGAGUGACGGUACCUGCAGAAGAAGCACCGGCUAACUACGUGCCAGCAGCCGCGGUAAUACGUAGGGUGCGAGCGUUGUCCGGAAUUACUGGGCGUAAAGAGUUCGUAGGCGGUUUGUCGCGUCGUUUGUGAAAACCCGGGGCUCAACUUCGGGCUUGCAGGCGAUACGGGCAGACUUGAGUGUUUCAGGGGAGACUGGAAUUCCUGGUGUAGCGGUGAAAUGCGCAGAUAUCAGGAGGAACACCGGUGGCGAAGGCGGGUCUCUGGGAAACAACUGACGCUGAGGAACGAAAGCGUGGGUAGCAAACAGGAUUAGAUACCCUGGUAGUCCACGCCGUAAACGGUGGGCGCUAGGUGUGGGUUCCUUCCACGGGAUCUGUGCCGUAGCUAACGCAUUAAGCGCCCCGCCUGGGGAGUACGGCCGCAAGGCUAAAACUCAAAGGAAUUGACGGGGGCCCGCACAAGCGGCGGAGCAUGUGGAUUAAUUCGAUGCAACGCGAAGACCUUACCUGGGUUUGACAUACACCGGAAAAUCGGAAGAGAUCCGUUCCCCUUGUGGUCGGUGUCCAGGUGGUCCAGGGCGGUCGUCAGCUCGUGUCGUGAGAUGUUGGGUUAAUUCCGCCACGAAGCCCACCCUUUUUUUUAGUGCCCCACCAGUUAAUGAUGGGGACUCGUAGGAGACUCCGGGGUUCAAUUGGGAGGAAGGGGGGGAGGAGGCCAGUUCUCCAUCCCCUUAAUGUCCAGGGUUUCCCCCUUGUUCCAAUGCCCAGUCCAAAGGGUUGGGAGCCCUGGAGGGGGAGGAAUUCCUUUAAAGUGGUUUCCAUUUGGAUUGGGGUUUUCCAAUUGGCCCCCUUGAAUUGGGAGUCGUUAGUAUUGCCGAUUCAGCACCGUUCCGGUGAUUAGUUUCCCGGCCUUUACCCCACCCCCGGCCAUUCCAAAAAUUCGGUACCACCGAAACCGGUGUGCUAUGUAACCCUCCUGGACGGAGCCGUCGAAUGGGGAUUCGUAU
Molecule: ribosomal RNA, 1409 nt
Filed under: Rhodococcus sp. (in: high G+C Gram-positive bacteria)
Lineage: Bacteria; Bacillati; Actinomycetota; Actinomycetes; Mycobacteriales; Nocardiaceae
Description: bacterial SSU rRNA
Rfam family: Bacterial small subunit ribosomal RNA
Source: RNAcentral